UGUGUGUGAGCAGCCUGAGAGCAAGAGGGGAUGAGGGACCCAGAAAAAUUGGAAGCGUGGAGCUACAAGAUCAAAGGAGAGAGGGUGUUGGGUGCACAUUUGUCACCUGGGAAUACUACCAGCAAGCCUCAUAUUUUUUCUGCAAUAAAUGCUGGAAAGGAAAAAGAAAUGCUGAAAAUGAUGAAGUAAUUCCAAUUCUGCUGAUAGAGACCUGGAAAUGCACUAGGGAAAAAUGACAAGAGUGUAACACACUGCUGCUGAUUAUGUCAUAAUGAUUAUUUUAUGCAGUUUGAAGAAGACUCACUGUUCUAAAGAACCAGCAUCCACUUCCAGGAAAGAGCAGGGAUUCUUUAUCCAUACCUCCAUGGGAUGAACCACAUUGAAAAUAAUGAUUUCCUUCAAAUAGCUUACUCUACAUUAUAUAAAGAAUUCCUUGGGAUUCUCAAAAAAACCUAAUAAUAUAGUAAUAAUAAUAACAGGUUUGUUUUUGCUGUUUGUAGUCUAAUAUUCAGAUUGUGAGCAGCUGUUUUGGAAGGCAAGAUGAGUGAAUAGAUGUGAAGUCGUCUUAGAAAUGUCCAGGCUUCCAAAAGAAAUUUCACUUUUAAAAGAAAAUAGCCUAAUGUGAACCACAUUAGAAUCAGCACAUCUAAUCCUAUGGAGAAAAAGUGACCAUGGCUGUCUACACAUAUAGGCAGGUCAUUCAAGCUCAUUCAAAAAUUCCACUUUCACUGGUGGUCUGUCUGUGUCCACAUGGUGACAAAUGGCCCCGGCAGGGUUUUCGAGGUGUUGGCGCCACCAGUGAGUGCCGGAUGGAAUGUGGUGAAAGUUCUGAUUUGUACCUUUCAGACUAAAGGUACUUUCCAGAAUGGACGGGUCCUUCUGGCUGCCUUUUGUAAGUGCAGCCACAGGUAUUCUGUUGAAGCCUGUGGGCGAGAAAGACAUAAACAGGUGCUAUAAAUUUGUCAGACCAGGAAGCCACAGGCCGUUUAGUAAAUGGUAAACCCAAUGGCCCAAAAGAACAAAGGGGUCUCUUUUCAUCAGAAUGAUCAGGCUCAUUCAACAAAUAUUUAUUGAGCACCCACUUUCUGCCAGAUGGAAGAGCCACUGACAAGGCCUCUUAUUUAAAGAGUGCCUGAAGUGAGGAAGCAAACCCCCAAAUCAUCUGGGAUGGUAUGAACUGAACUCUGGACUGCAACAUGAUGGAAAGGAGGAGCUGGGGUCCCAAGGGCAGUCCAGACAACCUGAACCUGUGACACUCACCCUGCCCACACACUCUCAGAGCUGCGGCUUUCACGGGGGUGAGUUUUCUGCCUUGAUUUACUCAGGCCAAGACCUUUCAUUUUCUGGAGAAAAUACAGGUUUUUCUGUAGUAUUUCACAAACAAGGCAAUUCUCUCAGGGAAGUGAAACAGCAUUGCUUCUCAACUGAAGUCUGAAUUUCAUCUUCCCAAGUUUAUAUCGUUGAGUCACAAUUAUUGAGUCAUAAAGACCAAAAAGGAUGUUGAAAGUUAAUUUAUUUACCACACUAUGGCUUAGACUAUUCUAGAAAUAUGAAAAUAUCUCCUAUUAAGGCAGACUUUCUGAGGAGAAACCAUUGCUUUUUCAACUAAUGUUUUAUCAUGUUUUAUUGCCUUCAUAGUUAACUAUUUUUUUAAAUCAUAUCUAACAUAAGUCCCUCCAGCAGCAUUUUAUAUCUCUUUUACAAUACUUUGCCCCUGGAUAGUUGAAUAAUAGUUCAUCAAGCCUCAUAUAACAGUAAUUAAAUUGUCACCUUGGUGUUUUUCAGACCCAAUUCUUGCUAAUUCUUUGUAGGUGACAUGAAUGCUUGUAAAUGAGCUUGCUGAAUGGGAGACCAAGAACAAUGAUGAUAUUGAGCUGUUACUACAUGCCAGACAUUUAACCCUUUCAUCCAGGUUAUCGCAAUCAUUCCUUACAGAAAGGCUUUUGAGAGGUCAAUGCUCGUUAGAUAUAGACUUAUCAACUUCAAGUGAAGACAGGUUGAAAACAUCUAGAAUAAAAUAAAGAGAAGAUUUCUGAGCCUCAUAGUCUCUCAUCGCAUCUCCCAGGACACAGCAAGAAGAUGGCUGUCUAUGAACCUGAAUAUGUCUAGCCCUCACCAGACACUGAAUCUGCGAGAACCUUGAUCUUGGAUUUCCAGCCUCCAGAGUUGUGAGAGCGAAAUUUCUGUUGUUUGUAAACCACCCAGUCUAUGGUAUUCUGUUAUAGCAGCCUGAACAGACUAAUAUAAAGACAAUAAGGAGAAUUUGCUAGCAAGAUGGAAGCCACAAUCUUUUGUAACCUAAUCACAGAAGUGACAGCCUAUCACUUUUGCCUUAUUGUGUUUAUUAGAAGCAAGUCACUAGGUCUAGCCUACCCUCAGGGGAAAGAAAUUCCACCAGGGCACAAAUGCCAGGAGAUGGGUAUCAGUGGAGACCAUCUGAGAAGUCUGCCUACUAAGGCUUUCCAUGUCUACCUCGGAACAAGGGAAUCUAUCAUGAUUAUUGCAUGUGCCCUGAGCACUGGGUUUAGAUGACA
Long non-coding RNA from Gorilla gorilla gorilla (western lowland gorilla), 2534 nucleotides. RefSeq lists it as uncharacterized. The transcript is spliced from 4 exons. The record is from RefSeq and is a predicted model, not a curated record. NCBI's taxonomy places the organism in Eukaryota, Metazoa, Chordata, Mammalia, Primates, Hominidae.